Molecule: ribosomal RNA, 1056 nt
Filed under: uncultured Bacteroidales bacterium
Lineage: Bacteria; Pseudomonadati; Bacteroidota; Bacteroidia; Bacteroidales
Description: bacterial SSU rRNA
Rfam family: Bacterial small subunit ribosomal RNA
Source: RNAcentral
AACGCUAGCUACAGGCUUAACACAUGCAAGUCGAGGGGCAGCACAGUGUAGCAAUACAUGGGUGGCGACCGGCGCACGGGUGCGUAACGCGUAUCCAACCUUCCCGAUACUCAGGGAUAGCCUUCCGAAAGGGAGAUUAAUACCUGAUGGUGUUUCAAUUCCGCAUGUUAAUGAAACUAAAGAUUUAUCGGUAUCGGAUGGGGAUGCGUGACAUUAGAUAGUAGGCGGGGUAACGGCCCACCUAGUCUACGAUGUCUAGGGGUUCUGAGAGGAAGGUCCCCCACACUGGAACUGAGGCACGGUCCAGACUCCUACGGGAGGCAGCAGUGAGGAAUAUUGGUCAAUGGUCGGAAGACUGAACCAGCCAAGUAGCGUGAAGGAUGAAGGUUCUAUGGAUUGUAAACUUCCUUUAUACGGGAAUAAAACCUCCCACGUGUGGGAGCUUGUAUGUACCGUAUGAAUAAGCAUCGGCUAACUCCGUGCCAGCAGCCGCGGUAAUACGGAGGAUGCGAGCGUUAUCCGGAUUUAUUGGGUUUAAAGGGAGCGUAGACGGGGGAUUAAGUCAGUUGUGAAAGGCUGCGGCUCAACCGCAGCACUGCAGUUGAUACUGGUUUCCUUGAGUGCGGUUGAGGUAUGUGGAAUUCGUGGUGUAGCGGUGAAAUGCUUAGAUAUCACGAAGAACUCCGAUUGCGAAGGCAGCAUACUAAGCCGUAACUGACGUUGAGGCUCGAAAGUGUGGGUAUCAAACAGGAUUAGAUACCCUGGUAGUCCACACGGUAAACGAUGAAUACUCGCUGUUGGCGAUAUAGUGUCAGCGGCCAAGCGAAAGCAUUAAGUAUUCCACCUGGGGAGUACGCCGGCAACGGUGAAACUCAAAGGAAUUGACGGGGGCCCGCACAAGCGGAGGAACAUGUGGUUUAAUUCGAUGAUACGCGAGGAACCUUACCCGGGCUUAAAUUGCGCUGGACAGAUUGGGAGACCAAUCCUUCUUCGGACCAGUGUGAAGGUGCUGCAUGGUUGUCGUCAGCUCGUGCCGUGAGGUGUCGGCUUAAGUGC